This is a long non-coding RNA of Mugil cephalus (flathead mullet), 1748 nucleotides long. RefSeq lists it as uncharacterized. The transcript has 2 exons. The record is from RefSeq and is a predicted model, not a curated record. NCBI's taxonomy places the organism in Eukaryota, Metazoa, Chordata, Actinopteri, Mugiliformes, Mugilidae.
GGAGCGGCGAGAGCGCAGCGCCGUGUCCAAGACGCGCACUGCACUGCCUGGUGGCCACAUAGCGGGAGUCAAGUGGGUAUGGCAACAAGGUGUGGCGACUAAAAAAAAAAAAGUUUGACCGCACACUGAACAAACCCUAAAAGAAAAUGACUUACUAACUAUGUCAUGCUUCUUCUACUGCUUAUUACACAUAGAAACCUCAUAUGUCCAUGGCUUUUCUGCUAGAUGUACUGCAGCUAAUGACUGAUUAAUGUAGGGUUAAUUAAUAAUCUAAACUGGUGCUCUGUUAGGACUCGGGUGACGGGUCCAGUCCUGGUGUCGAAGGAUGAGCUGAUCCAGAGGUCCUGCUGUGAUCCACUGUGGCUGACAUGAUCUUGGGAACGUCAAGGACUUGAAGGAUCUCCACUCACAGAGCUGUAUACAAAUCAUCCAAGGCGGUAGUGCUGCCGUACCACACAGCGAUGCAGCUGGUCGAGACACUCUCAACGAUCCAGUUCCAGAUGGGGCCGAGGACAUAACCUGGUGGAGUGCCAAUCUUUGUAAGAAUGCUAACUGAAGACCCUAGCCCAAUCCUGACUGGGCUCGUCAGAAAGACGGCAUGUGGGUGAUGAUCGUGUUGAAGGUGGAGUCAAUAAAGAACAUUCUGGUGUAGGAGUCUUUAUUUUAAUGCUUGAUACAUAUGUCCGUGGUGUUUUCUGUUGGCUGGACUGCAGCUGAAGGCUCAUUAACGUAAGGUCAAUUAAACAUAAUUAUCUCAACUGGUGCUCUGAGUACUAGAGUGGUCUGGAGGAGAUCUUGUAUGUUAUUAUCUCCGUUCUGAUAGCUUCAAGUGUUUGGUCCAUCUGCAGUUAAUUUGACAAUAUGGAUUUCAUUAAGCACAAGUGAGUAAAUUGCAAGCUGCUUAGGGAUUCUGAAGGCGUGGGUUAAAUUCUUAUUGAAGUUCCACACCAAAAGAAAAGGCUGGAAACAUGUGGUCAAAUAGUGCAGCCUGUUUGAGGAAUCUCUUGCUGUUAAGAUUUUGGUUGAAGCCUGAUGACACUCAGGAGCUUUUGAAGUCCAACCCCCAAAGUGAAGAAUGAAAAGCUAUGAGAAAGAUGGUGGGUGUGUGGUCAGAUAGCUCAGGCUGUUGAAGGACUGUGUUGUCAUUCUUAAGGCCUGGGUUCGAGUCUUAUGACGUCCAGUGGUUUUUAAAGUCCACCACCGAAAGUGAAGAAUAUAAAACUCUUAAGAAAGGUCAGAGCCAUGUGGUCAAAUAGCUCAACCUGAUAGAUGACGGUCUGGAGACUCUGAGAACAUGGGUUCAAAUCUUAUCGGUGCUGGUGAUUUUUAAAGUCCAACACCCAAAGUGAAGAGUCAAAUUGUGUCAACGCCAUUCAACCACCUGUCUGAUCCAACAGCGCGGGCUGUUAGGAGACUGCUUGGCAGUCAUGAAGUCAUGGGUUCAAAUCUUAUCAGGGUCAGUGUGUUUUGAAGUCCAGAUUCCAAAGCGAAGACUUAAAAGCGCUCAGAAAGAAGGUUCAAGUGUGAAGGGCCGUCGGUGGCGUGGUGGGUUUCAACCGCGACUGGAAGUCGCAAGAGCUUGGUUCGAUUCCCAUCCGUGGCCGGGGGCCUGGAUCCACCAAACAUCCCUGCAGUAGCAGGCCGGGGGGGGGCCGUGUCCUCCCCCGCGGUUUCCGAGCAACAGAAGGAGGGGGUUAUAGGACCCAGAGCUACGAGAGGCUGGAGUUUUACAGUGAAGGGAGGGAAGA